AUGUGCUGUGAAAUGAGGCCGGGGUUCGGGUUCGGGUCUGCGCGGCGCGGCGUCUGGAGGAGCUGGCCCGCCCUGUGCUCACGGCAGCUGCAGCAGUGCUUCUCCCCGUCUCUCCGCUCCGCAAAGAAGCUGCACGUCACAGCCACCACUCUCCCACUGCCUGACGCGAGGAAGAAGAGCAAGGUCAUUGUGAUAUCAGGCCCCACCGGCGCUGGCAAGAGCAGGCUCGCGCUGGAGGUGGCCAGGAGGCUAGGGGGAGAGAUCAUCAGCGCCGACUCGGUGCAGGUGUACCGCAGCCUCGACGUCGGCUCCGCCAAGCCGUCCGCCUCCGAGAUGAGCAUGGUGCCGCAUCACCUGAUCGACAUCAUGCACGCGUGUGACGAUUACUCCGCUGGGAUGUUCUUCCACGACGCGCGAGCAGCGACGCAAGAUGUUCUUGGCAGGGGCUCUGUGCCUGUCGUUGCAGGAGGGACCGGGCUGUACUUAAGGUGGUUUAUCUACGGCAAGCCAAAUGUUCCACAGUCAUCCACAGACAUCAUAUCAAGUGUGUGGUCUGAGCUCGCUGGAUUUCGUGAGAGCGGCCGGUGGGAAGAAGCGGUGGAGCUCCUGCUCAAGGCCGGGGACCCCGAAGCUCGGGACUUGGAUACAAAUAACUGGGCCAGGUUAAGCAGAAGGCUCGAGAUCAUCAGGUCAUCUGGUUCCCCUGCAUCUUCCUUCACCCUACCAUACAGCUCGUUUCAGAAGCAGCAAGACACCAAGCUAACUGAUUCCCCAAGCGAUGAUGCAACCUGCGAGGCGAAGGAACUGGAGUAUGAUUUCCUGUGUUUUUUCCUAGCAUGCCCACGGGUUGAACUCUACAGAUCAAUUGAUUUGAGGUGUGAGGAAAUGCUGGCUGACACAGGAGGCCUUCUUUCAGAAGCCUCAUGGCUUCUUGAUGUUGGGUUGCAGCCAAAUAUGAACUCUGCAACCCGUGCCAUUGGUUACAGGCAAACCAUGGAGUACCUGGUGCAUUGCAGACAGAAUGGAGGCAGUAGCUCCCCAGAGGAGUUCUUGGAGUUCCUGACCAAGUUUCAGCAGACGUCUAGGAACUUCUCAAGGAGGCAAAUGACCUGGUUCCGCAACGAGAAGAUUUACCAGUGGGUUGACGCAUCGCAGCCUUUUGAAGAGAUUGUUCAGUUUAUCUGUGACGCUUACAAUGGCUCUGAUGCAAUGGUGCUGCCUGAAUCACUUGAAAUGAAAAGGGAAAGUUGCGUGCACACAAGCAAGGAUCUCAAAACCUAUCGUCCAGAGAACAGGGUGUUCCUUGGGCACGAAGAGUGUUGCCACAUUUUGGAUUGGAUUAGGAGGACGCAGGGGAAGUGA
Molecule: ribosomal RNA, 1362 nt
Filed under: Triticum aestivum (bread wheat)
Lineage: Eukaryota; Viridiplantae; Streptophyta; Magnoliopsida; Poales; Poaceae
Description: partial small subunit ribosomal RNA
Source: RNAcentral